GGGGCGAUGGAGGCCUAUUGCGAAUCCUCUUACAAGGAUGCCUUCCUUGAAGAAGCUCUCUUCCUCCCUCUACAAGGAUUUCAGGACACUACACUGUUGCCACCACUCUAAUCAGCAUUCUGGCUAUUUAUCAUUCUCAAUGAUUAUAGCAUAGAAAGAGGCCAUUCAAACAGUGGCUGAAAAUGUGUUGCUGGAAAAGCGCAGCAGGUCAGGCAGCAUCCAAGGAGCAGGAGAAUCGACGUUUCAGGCAUGAGCCCUUCUUCAGGAAUAAGGAAAGUGUGUCCAACAGGCUAAGAUAAAAGAAAAUGCGAGAAAUACUCAGCAGGUCAGGCAGAACCUGUGGAGAUAAGUACCUCAGAUCAAUGGAAAUUCAGAAUCCGAAUCACUAUCAGAAUCAGUGGGAGUUCAUCAAUCUGAAACAAGGAUUCGGUUUCUCUUAACAAAUGCUACCUAACCUGCUGAGCUAUUCCAGCACUGUCAACUUUAAUUUUGGAUUUCCAGCAUGUACAGUUUUCUACUUCUGUAAGUGAUUGCUGACCCUUGAUGUUCAAAACUAAAG
Long non-coding RNA from Hemiscyllium ocellatum (epaulette shark), 559 nucleotides. RefSeq lists it as uncharacterized. Lineage: Eukaryota; Metazoa; Chordata; Chondrichthyes; Orectolobiformes; Hemiscylliidae. The transcript is spliced from 3 exons. The record is from RefSeq and is a predicted model, not a curated record.